Molecule: microRNA precursor, 120 nt
Filed under: Mus pahari (shrew mouse)
Lineage: Eukaryota; Metazoa; Chordata; Mammalia; Rodentia; Muridae
Description: microRNA 763 (MGP_PahariEiJ_G0007795.1)
Rfam family: mir-763 microRNA precursor family
Source: RNAcentral
AAUGAUGGAGGUGCAGGCGUUUCCUGGGGAUUAAUGACCAGCUGGGAAGAGCCAGUGGCCCUCGGCUCUGCCUCCCAGCCAGCCAUUAACUCCAAGGAAAUGUCUUUUGCUGAGGUCAUU